GCGGAAAAUAUCGGCGCCGUUUACCGCUGGCCAGUCAUUUCCACCUCUCGCCUCUGCGCCCCUCCACCGAAAUCGCCAUGCCGCAUGCUCACGCCGCCGCCGUAGUGGACCGGCUGCUGCGCAGGCUCGGUUCCGCCGCUUGGCGGCUGGAGGUGCCCCGGAGUAUAGACGGGGACCUAGCGCAUGUGUGGAGAACUCUGGUGAGGUUGCAAGAUGUGCUGGUUAGCCUGGAGAUCCGUCCGGAGGUGCAAGAGUGGAUGGGGGAUAUCAAGCAGGUCGCGUACGAUGUUGAGAAUCUGGUCGAUGAAUUGGAAGACCACAAUAGCAUGGAAUCUCAGAUGAGCGGCUGCGUUGCAGUUGGAGAGGAAGCACCAUCCUGCUGUUCAUGUUCAUUUCUCAUGCAUAGUACAAGAGCAGACAGAAUGAAGUCAAUCAAAAGAAGGUUGGACUGUUCAGUAAAAGAUUCUGUCGUCUUCAGUUUGAGCCAGUACCCUUUUCCUGAUGUUGAGAGAUUUGAUAAUGAAGCAUUUGAUAGAGCUGCAGUCGUUGGAAGAGAUAAUGACAAAGCAAAGAUAAAGGACAUGCUCUUGCAAAGUAAUGCAGAAAAGUUGUCAAUCAUUCCCAUUGUUGGCCUUGUGGGGUUGGGGAAAACAACUCUAGCUAGAUUAAUUUUCCUUGAUCAGGGAGAAGGUUGGAAUUUUGAUCUUCGUAUCUGGAUAUGCUUAAAUAGGAAACUAAACAUAAAAAUGAUUGCUAGUGAUAUAAUCUCGCAAUGUAAUCAUACAGAAGAAAAGUUUUUAGAUGUUCAUACAGGCAUGGAGAUCCAGGAAAACUUGCAGUUGCUAAAGAAUUGUUUGCAAGAGGCACUCCGUGAAAAACAUUGUCUGAUUGUAUUGGACGACCUUUCUAGCACAGAUAAAAACCAGUUGGAUGAAUUGAAGGAAAUGCUGAAGGGUACAAAUGAGUCUAUCAAGGUUUUAGUGACCACGUCCAGCGAAAUAACUGCAGAACUAGUGUACACCAUUCCACCGUACAAGUUGUGUCCUUUAUCUGAAGACGACAGUUGGAAAAUAUUUUCUCAAAAGGCUUUUGGGAAUUGCAAUUCUGAUAAUACUGACCUUAAGAGAAUUGGAAAGGAAAUAGUAAAAAGGUGUGAGGGAAUACCAUUAUUAACUCAUUCUCUUGGUUUAGUUGUACAAAAUCAAGUCACAAAUGUGUGGUUAGCUGCAAGGGAUGAAGAAAUAUGGAAACUAGAAAGAAGAGUUGCCACUAAAAUAGAAUUUUUUUCACCAUUAUACCGAAUAUACAAUGACUUCCCCCCAACUAUUAAAUUGUGCUUUCUAUAUUUAUCCAUAUUUCCUAAAGGAUCUGCAAUAGAUAAGGAAAAACUGAUCCAACAGUGGAUUGCACUCGAGAUUAUUGGUUCAAAACAUGACUCCUUGCCUCCUUAUGUGAAUGGGGAGAUGUGCAUUCAGGACCUUUUGUCAACAUAUUUUCUCCAAGUUCGAGAUAUGCACUCAGUUUAUGGAAUGGAUAACAGAAUAGUUCCUACAGCGUUCUACAUUCAUAACUUUGUCCACGAAUUUGCAAGACAUGUUGCUUGCGAUGAUAUUGUAAUUUUGGAUGGUACCGAAAUGCUAAAGGGCUGCGCAAAAUGGCAAACCUUCCAAUAUGCACUCAUGACAUGUUACCAGGGGCAGUCAACACUUUCCCACUCACAGCUUACAAGGACAAGGGCAUUGCAUCUCAGGAACUCUGAGGCGAUAACACUUCAUUGUGAAGCAUUUGAAUUACUGAAGCAUUUGCGUGUUUUGAAUCUUAGUGGAUGUUGCAUUGGAGAAUUACCAGCCUCUAUAGGCUGUCUAAAGCGUCUAAAAUAUCUUGAUGUUUCUGGUGUGCAGAUUCAAACCUUGUCAUCCCCGGUGAGUAGGUUGACAAACCUUGAGGUAUUGGAUCUAUCAGAAACAUGUAUGAAGGAAUUACCAUCUUUCAUUGGUAAUUUACAGAAUCUAAAAUAUUUAAACAUGCAAGGCUGUGAUAAACUUCAAAACCUGCCUUUAUCCCUUGGUCAUCUGCAAAGACUUGAGCAUCUUCGACUGUCAUGCUGCAGAGGCAUUGCUGUGCUACCAGACUCUUUGUGCAAUCUUAACAAUCUUCGAAUUUUGGAUUUAUCAAGAUGCACUAUGCUGCGACACUUACCUGCUCUAUUUGGUAACUUAGUGAACUUGGAGGAUCUAAGCCUAUCUAGUUGCUUCAACCUUAAGCAGUUACCAGAAUCUUUUGGUAACCUUUAUUUUCUUAGGUUCCUGAACCUAUCUAGCUGCUAUGAACUUCAGAAGUUUCCUGAAUCUCUUACAAACCUCGAGAAAUUGGAAGUUCUUAUACUCCGGAGAUGUUGCAGACUUCAAAUUCUCCCUCCCUCCUUUGCAAUGAUUAAGUACCUUCGAAUUCUUGAUCUGGCUGGCUGUGAAGCACUUCAUGUAAGUACUGAGAUGCUAACAACCAAUCUGGAAUAUCUGAACCUACAACGGUGCCUAAAUCUUCAGACUCAGCCAUACUACUUUGAAAACUUCAAUAAGUUGAAGUUUUUGAAUCUUUCCCAGUGCCUCCCUACCGUUGAUUGCCUGAAUUCUGUUAGUUACUUGUUCAACUUAGAAUAUCUAGACCUGUCAGAAACUUUCCUUGACAUACCUGUGUCUUUUGCAAGGCUUCGGAAGUUGCACACACUUAACCUCACUGGUUGUGCUCCAAUGCAUCGAUCCUCUAAUGUACACCAAAUAUGGGCAGGUAUAUUAGCAAAAAUUACAAGUCUCAAGUCUGUGCUGACGACGGACCCAGUAUUAGCGGCCUCUCUUCCAGGACAUGUCGAGUGCUCUGCUCACUACCACUCACUCACAACAACUGAUGAACUUGUUAUUAAAGAGAUCACAGGCAGUUCCAGAGGCCUUCAUAUUGCCGAGCAGUUGAAUCUGCAGAACCGACUGGAGCUUUGUUUCCUUAAGCUGGAGUGGGUCCCUAGGUCCCAAUCAGCUCAAGAUGAACUAUUGGAAUAUACAGAUGAGGAAGUGCUGGAGAAGUUCCAACCAAAUGAGACCCUGGAACAUUUUGUGCUAGUUAAAUAUACAGGCUAUGUGUUUCCUACAUGGAUGAUGAACAAACUGACUUCACUCCCAUACCUUGUCAACCUUUGUUUGUUCCACCUGCAUAACUGCAGUGCACUCCCUCCAAUUGGCCAUCUAAGAAAUCUCCGCUACUUGCAUAUUAAAGAUAUGCCCAACCUCAGAGAUCUAGAGAUGGGUCUUUCUGGGGGGCCUGUGUCCUUGGGGAAAUUGACUCACCUCAAACUGGAAGCACUGAAUUUAGAAGAGCUGUCUAUACUGUUGUCAGCCAACAAUGAGAGUCCCUGUUUCAUGUUUCCCAAUCUUGAGGAGUUAUCCGUUCUAUCUUGUUCUAAGCUUGUCUUCAAACCAUCUCUGCCAAAGUGUGCGAAAUAUGUAAUAAAAGAGAGUAACAUGGUUCUUUCAUGUGGGCAACCUCUGGGGCCAUUGUCAUCUCCAUCAAUAGAAAAAGUUGAGAUAAGUGGGUGUACGAUACCUUCUGGUUGGUUGCAGUGGCUUAGAUCCAUGCAGACUCUUGAGGAAGUAGUGAUAGAUGGUGAAGCUCUUUCAUCUUUUGAGCUCCUGAAGAUACAUGGAACUCAAGGAUCAUCUGGUAGUAAGAUUUCAAGUGAAACUGCAAGUUCAUCUAGGACAAAUAUGUCACGUGAGUUGACCACUGAGGAUGGUGCCCUUAAAGAUAUUGGUAUCGACAGCUCAACAAUCAAACCUUUUCCAAGGUUUAGCACCACUUCUGAACUCUCAGUGGAUCCUAUUUUGUCCUCUAAAGUAAGCACACCAUCCAAGGAGAUCCCAUCAACUUUACGCAGGCUGGACAAGUCAAAAAUGCCUGCACUAAUACCUGGAGAUGGAUCCUUAAACUUAAGCCUUAAGCAGGUUCGGAAGGUUACUCAGAAUUUCUCACCUUUAUUUAAGUUAGGUGAAGGGGGAAUCUGGACAGUUUACAGGGCUGUAUUAUCAGAUAACCAGUUUGCUAUCAUCCGGAGAGCUAAAAAGGGUCACGUUCAAGAGGCAAAACAUCUCAUGAAAGUGAAAUUCCUUACAGAAAUUAAUCACUGGAGUUUGGUGAGGUUCUUAGGUUUUAUUGAUAAAAAAGAUGAGUGUAUUCGGAUCACAGAGUAUGUUCCAAAUGGCACUCUUAGGGAACACCUACAUGACCAACACAAGAGAAUCCUGGAUUUUAAUCAACGUAUAGUGAUUGCCCUUGAUGUUGCUAUUGCAUUGACUUACCUCCAUUUGUGUUCUGAUGUGCAGGAAAGCACCCGGACCAGAUGGACUUAAUGCUAAAUUCUACAAAACGGCAUGGCCAUGGAUAUCUCAGGAUGUUACAACACUGGUGCAAGACUUCUACCAAACAGGUACUCCGUAUCUUUCACCGUGCAUAAAGACCUUUGCCUGGAGAUUGAUAAGAAGGGCUCUAGCCACAGGCGAAAGAGCAGGAAGAUGCUCAACAGUCAACACACAUCGGUAAGCAAUGCUCUACCUCUGGUCAAUGACGAAACUAAUGCUCAUCUUUUCUUUCAUUGUAAUUUUGCUAGAGCAGUUUGGUUCUCUUCAAAUCCUCCUCUAAGAACUGAUACUCUACCAAAUGAAUUAGAUGGAGUACAAGAAAUUCUUGCCUUUAUAAUGCCUCCAUCAAUCUCUGAUGGCAUCUUCCAAACUAUUCUAACAAAUUCUUGGUAUAAAAAUUGGACUACUUGCGAAGUCCACCAUGCUGCGGCAAAUCCUGUCUUAAUUGCAGAUGGCGAACAGAUAGCAAGAACACAGGACGGUUUAAGCUAUACAGUUGCAGGUGCUACAAGACAAAGGCAAUGCAAAUGCGACUUCAACAGCAAAUGCAACAAAGAUGCUGGGAUACAGAGCCGAAGUCAGAGCUACAUGAACAGCUGCAUAACACACAAAGCAUAGGUAUGGGAUUUCUUAAUGCAGCAAAUGGUGCACCUUCUGCCCAACAACAGCAACUCAGGUCAACUAGCCUGCCAAGGCCACCCCUCUACACCAUUGCCCUUCCAGCGCUCUUGCCAGUGCCUAAAUGCUAUGUGGAUUCUGCUACAACACCGGACAAUAGCCAAACAGAUACACAGAGACCUGCUGGGCUUGGAAUCCUCUCAUGAUCAACAAUCAAAUACACCCAGCCCAAAACGUAUACAUUCAAGGGGCAAUACAUAAUUCCACCUUGCGCUAGCAUUUCUGAUGGCUUCUCGCCUCGACUUGCAAAGUCCAACCUACCUGUCAGACAACCAGGCUCUGGUGACUUUAUUGAAUGGAUCAGAUUUCUCAUCACCACCAGACUGGAGAGUCAAGACCUUCACCAGCAAUUUCAUCACAGCGAAUGAAGGUCGUCAUCACAGCACAUUCCAGAUUGGAAGAAAACUGAGGAGGCGUUUGGUUCGGCCGUUUCAGCCUGGAAUCCAUUUACAGUGCCAACGGGUCACGUUGUCUGCUGUUUGGUUGGUCCGGCCUGCAAUCCAUCAUAGCGGCAUCGCAUUCGGGGCUAUACAAUUCCAUUAUUAUAUAACCCCCUCAACUAUCCAGACUAUAAAAUCAGAUAUUCUACCCUUUAAACUUUUCAAAACUGGUCAAAUAACCCUCUCGAGUAGUUUUGGAG
This is an RNA transcript of Sorghum bicolor (sorghum), 5724 nucleotides long. It is a transcript of the gene named putative disease resistance protein RGA1, with no coding region annotated. The record is from RefSeq and is a predicted model, not a curated record. The transcript has 10 exons. Lineage: Eukaryota; Viridiplantae; Streptophyta; Magnoliopsida; Poales; Poaceae.